UACGGAGGAUCCAAGCGUUAUCCGGAUUUAUUGGGUUUAAAGGGUGCGCAGGCGGAAGAUUAAGUCGGCGGUGAAAUUUUGCAGCUCAACUGUAAAAGUGCCAUCGAUACUGGUUUUCUUGAGUGUGGAUGAAGUAGGCGGAAUUUGUGGUGUAGCGGUGAAAUGCAUAGAUAUCACGAGGAACUCCGAUUGCGCAGGCAGCUUACUAGGCCAUAACUGACGCUCAGGCACGAAGGCGUGGGGAUCAAACAGGAUUAGAUACCCUGGUAGUCCACGCAGUAAACGAUGAUUACUCGCUGUUUGCGAUACACAGUAAGCGGCUUAGCGAAAGCGUUAAGUAAUCCACCUGGGGAGUACGUUCGCAAGAAUGAA
Molecule: ribosomal RNA, 372 nt
Filed under: uncultured bacterium
Lineage: Bacteria
Description: bacterial SSU rRNA
Rfam family: Bacterial small subunit ribosomal RNA
Source: RNAcentral